ACGAUCAUAUCACGUUGAAACACCAGCUCUCGUACGGUCACCGAAGUUAAGCAUCGUCCAGUCUGGUGCGUACCAGGAUGGGUAACCACUUUGGAUACCAGGUGCU
Acanthosepion pharaonis is the source of this 106-nucleotide non-coding RNA. Lineage: Eukaryota; Metazoa; Mollusca; Cephalopoda; Sepiida; Sepiidae. The record is from the annotation of a GenBank genome assembly.